GCAGCUUAAAAAGCUCGUAGUUGGAUUUCUGGGAGGGCGCCAAUGUCCGCUCGUUCGCGUGUGCAGCGGCGCCCUUCCAUCCUUCUGUUAACGUUUCUUGGUAUUCAGUUACUGGUUUCGGGCUCAGAUAUUUUACCUUGAGAAAAUUAGAGUGUUCCAGGCAGGCUUGCGCCGGAAUACAUUAGCAUGGAAUAAUAGAAUAGGACUUUAGUCUCCUUUGUUGGUUUGAGGGACUGAAGUAAUGAUUAAUAGGGAUAGUUGGGGGCAUUAGUAUUUAAUUGUCAGAGGUGAAAUUCUCGGAUUUGUUAAAGACUAACUUAUGCGAAAGCAUUUGCCAAGGAUGUUUUCAUUAAUCAAGAACGAAAGUUAGGGGAUCAAAGACGAUCAGAUACCGUCCUAGUCUUAACCAUAAACUAUGCCGACUAGGGAUCGGAGGCGCGCUUUAUCCG
This 449-nucleotide ribosomal RNA is filed under the name Halteria grandinella. RNAcentral describes it as "SSU rRNA". It matches the Rfam family "Eukaryotic small subunit ribosomal RNA", at positions 619 to 1072 of the family's 1831-position model. Lineage: Eukaryota; Ciliophora; Spirotrichea; Sporadotrichida; Halteriidae. The record is from RNAcentral.